Molecule: ribosomal RNA, 704 nt
Filed under: uncultured bacterium
Lineage: Bacteria
Description: bacterial SSU rRNA
Rfam family: Bacterial small subunit ribosomal RNA
Source: RNAcentral
CCCUUAGAGUUUGAUCCUGGCUCAGAGUGAACGCUGGCGGUAGGCCUAACACAUGCAAGUCGAACGGCAGCACAGGAGAGCUUGCUCUCUGGGUGGCGAGUGGCGGACGGGUGAGGAAUACAUCGGAAUCUACCUUUUCGUGGGGGAUAACGUAGGGAAACUUACGCUAAUACCGCAUACGACCUACGGGUGAAAGUGGGGGACCGCAAGGCCUCACGCGAUUAGAUGAGCCGAUGUCCGAUUAGCUAGUUGGCGGGGUAAUGGCCCACCAAGGCGACGAUCGGUAGCUGGUCUGAGAGGAUGAUCAGCCACACUGGAACUGAGACACGGUCCAGACUCCUACGGGAGGCAGCAGUGGGGAAUAUUGGACAAUGGGCGCAAGCCUGAUCCAGCCAUACCGCGUGGGUGAAGAAGGCCUUCGGGUUGUAAAGCCCUUUUGUUGGGAAAGAAAUCCUAUCGGUUAAUAACCGGUGGGGAUGACGGUACCCAAAGAAUAAGCACCGGCUAACUUCGUGCCAGCAGCCGCGGUAAUACGAAGGGUGCAAGCGUUACUCGGAAUUACUGGGCGUAAAGCGUGCGUAGGUGGUGGUUUAAGUCUGCUGUGAAAGCCCUGGGCUCAACCUGGGAAUUGCAGUGGAUACUGGAUCACUAGAGUGUGGUAGAGGGAUGCGGAAUUUCUGGUGUAGCAGUGAAAUGCGUAGAGA